This is a long non-coding RNA of Balaenoptera acutorostrata (minke whale), 6855 nucleotides long. RefSeq lists it as uncharacterized. The record is from RefSeq and is a predicted model, not a curated record. The transcript is spliced from 10 exons. Lineage: Eukaryota; Metazoa; Chordata; Mammalia; Artiodactyla; Balaenopteridae.
GCCGGAAGGUGAGACGCCGCGGGAAAAGCGGUCCUGUUAGGUGGUCCAGGUAGUUUGGGGCUGAGGCCGUCUCCUCAAGAGUAACCGCGGGCCUGUGCUACGGUCACGCCACCAGCCUCCGUUUCCUUUAGCCUUCUCUCUCACCAAACGAUUUUCCUGUCCAGUUAUAAAGUGCAAGUUGUUUCCCCAAGGAAGUGCAUUUUGGAUCAACACCUGUGGGAAAUGAGCUGUACUGCAUCCCAACAAAGACCUCAGCCAACCCCACAGCUGAGAUGGAGCAAUAGAGACCAGAUGUACCUUUCCCAGCUGAAACAACUAAAAAGACAAGACAAAAUAUAUUAAAGAAUGGUUCUUGAGACACUGGACACCACACAGUGAAGAACAGUGAUCCCUGAGAGAUGAGAAACAAAUAAGAUCUUGGAAUGCUCCAGUCUUUUUGCAAAGUCGAUGAGUGGCUUCAGCACUGGGGAAGAAGCCCGAAAGGUGACCAGAUGGAACCUGCAUUCACAGUCUUCAAAGUUCCCUUUUGAAACAUAAGGAAGAGAAUGAAGGGGAGAAGGAUUUCACACUUUCGGGCUUACAAUCUGAAGGUGUCCGUUCCUACACUGGUCAGACCACUGUCCUUGGGGCAGCUGGGGUCUUUGGGACCCUCCACCGGGCUCGCCGGUCCGUCGGACUUUUGGCUGAGAUCCGUGUCAGACUCCUCCGAAUAGUCGUCUGUUGGCAUCGAGGGCUGAACCCCUGAGGUGCUGCAUGAACUUGAGAGCGCGCUCUCGCACGCCAGGCAGUGGUACGAGCCGCCGCCGCUGCCGCCGCCGCCGCCGCCGCCCGUGGGGACGUGAAGCACCAUCUCUUGCAGGUUCACCACAGACUGGCCGAAGAAGCAGAGGGACUUCAGGUGGCUCCUCGCCGCCUCCUCGUCACUGAAGCCCGCCUGGCACUUGCGGCAGACCAACUUAUGCCGUGCUCCUGGGAGCUGUGGUACAGUCAGACGGUGGUAACUGGGGCGUGCCUGGCUGCCUUGAAUGAUUAAGAGCAUAUCUCUCCUCCUACCUGGAGUCCGCUCUAAGUGAAACUGGGAUCUGGAAUGAGGUAGCCCCUCACGUUCUGUAAAACACUGCCAAAAUUAUAAAACUUGGAUUUAAUUCAACCAGAAACCAGGGCUGCUCUGGGAAGCAGCAGAACCACUUCAACCCCUGGGAACAGGGCCAUGUUUUGAAGUCUCACAGGAUCCUGGAGGUGAAAGUCCAAUUUAGGGAAGACAGCUGGAUUCAAAGACGACGGGUGAGGGCAGAGGAGGAGGAACAAGAGAGGUACACAGGAAGAACCGCAGCACUCCCUACGAAGUGGAAAAAUAACUACCAAGUAUGUGACUCUGAAUUAGAAAGGGAAACGGGCAGAAGAAAACGAAGGCAUGUUACCAUUAACAUUUUUGUCUGUCUAGAGGACUAUAACAUGUCAUAAUUCAGAACCACAGUGCCCAAUACGAGCUCCUGGUCAGUGCAUUCCAGUACAAAGGCAGUCUAAUUAGAAACCAGGGACUUCCCUGACAGUCCAGGGGUUAAGACUCCGUGUUUCCACUGCAGGGGGCACAGGUUCGAUCCCUGGCCGGAGGACUGAAAUCCCACAUGCCGCGUGGUGCAGCCCAAAAUCAACCAACCAACAAACAAAAAGCACUAACGUAACACUCUAUUUCUGACUGGAAGAGAACCCCAGGGGUAAGGCUCUACCGUAUGAGAGCGUCUUCCUGGUAGCAUCUCUCCUGCCAGAGCACGUCUCUGAAAAAGGAGGUGGGACUACGGAGGAAGGCAAAGAGUUGACUUAAAUUCUCUUGAACCAAUUUCCAGAAGGCACAAUCCAGGAUUAGCUAGACAUUCAAAUGUUUUAUAUUUUCAACAGACAUCGAGAUGGGAUCUGCAUUUCCACAAGGACUGAAUGGAAGGGUCUAUAAUGGAAACUGCUGUCUUGAAAAUACCCCAGGAUCUAGUAUGCCAGAACCCUGAAGUUCAUGCCUAUAACACACACCCUGGUGGUGUUACUGAACACUAGGCACGAGAAUGGUUUCAGGAGCCUGUUCCAACCACAAGGUCCCCAUCCUUGAACUGGCAAGUCAAAGAGUCACGUACACCAUAGCUCUAGGGAGACUCAGUGGAAGGGACCUGAGGUUUUACUGCUGUUAGAGAACUAGGAAAGGGAAGCUUCCUAUCAGGCCAACACUCGGAGGUUUUGUGUGGUAGCCAUAGAACAAGCGCUAAUUGGGCAGCUAUUUAAUACUGGGAGAGUCACCAAGAGCAGAACCCACCUGUGUUGGAUGGAGUAAAGCCGGGCAAGGAGGGGCUGUUGAGGCCGGGGAGCAACACGGGCGGAAUGCCCUGGAUGGCCGGAUAUGCUGUCGGAAGGUUGAGAGCCUGAAGAGGGGCGUUGUCAAACAUCCCUUGCUGCUGCGCUGCCAGUCCGAGGACCUCAUUGGCCUUUUUGAUCCGGUCCAACUCUUGUUGAGCCAUCAGCUGACGUACAGUGGCUGGGUCAAAGUAUUCUUUCUCCUUGUCCAACUGGCUUCCAAUGGUGUCUUUAACUUUGGAGAUAUGCUGUUGGGAAAAGAUAUGGUCACGUACAGACAGCCGAGCGCUGUACUUGAUGCCACACAAAGUGCACUCUGUUUUGGGUCCCUCGUAACUUGUUUGGUUUAUACCAAAAUGCUUGGCCAUGCUUAACUUGGACUUCUUUUCUUUUGCCCGGGCAUUCUGGAACCAGACCUGAACCACUCUCUUUGGCAGUCCAAUGUCAUUGCCCAGGACUUCACACUCUAGCAUGGUGGGUGUCCUGUAGUCAUUAAAGCAUGACUUGAGGACCUUCAGCUGCAGAUUGGUCAUCUGGGUGCGAAAACGUUUCUGCCCGGGCCUAUCCCCACUGUCUCCAGAUUUGCCUGCUGACCCACUUGCACCAGGGCUUGGGGAGCAGGGGUCUGCAAGGCUCGAGGUUUCACUGUAGUCCACCGUACCUUCAUUGUCAUAUUCCUUGCUGUAAAAGCUCGGGGCUGGGCUGACCAGACCGGAUGACAACCGAUCUUCAUACUCAGACAUUGCCAUCAUGGCCGCUUUGGUCAACCCUUCACUGGGCGCGGAAGAGGAUUUGGUUUCAGUUGCUAUUCCCGUCGCACUGUCGUUAUCCGCAUUGCCCUCGUCUCCAGUAGUGGUAUCUGUGAUCGCUGUGUUGACUGAGGAACAGUCGUCGUUGUCCAGCUUAGUUUGGUCAAAGUUUAGAUUAACUGAGGACAUGGAAGGGCUUUCAAAGUCUUCAAUCCCUUCCACCUUGAUGGAAGAAGGGCUAAGAAGAGUUCUAGGAGACAACUCCAUGGUUUUGCUCACAGGUGAGAGGGGAACACCUUGGCCAUCACUACUGCUUGGGGGUAGGUGGGAAAAGCUAGUUCCAUCAAAAAUAUCUCCUUUCAUUUGGAGUCCCCCAUCGCAGUCUAAGAGCAUCGCAGACAGAGUUAGGUUGUAGCCAGCUCUCUUGGCUUCAUGCCAAUGACGGGACCGGAUAUGAGCCUCCAGGGCAGUCUUGGCUUUGAAGAGCGCUCUGCAAAAAGGGCAUCUCCUGUGGGCCUGGGCUGGGCCCACAGCCCUGAACUGUCCUUUCCGUUCCCGGGCUCGGGUGUUCUGAAACCAGACUUGUACCACGCGUUUCUUCAAACCCACCUCAUGCGCAAUGUGAUCCAACAUCUUUCGAGUUGGAUUGGAGUCCAAGAGAUACUUUUGGUAGAGAAUUUCUAGCUGUUCUGGUGUAAUAGUUGUCCUCAAGCGCUUGUCUCUCUGAGGUUCUUCUCCUCCCGUCCCACUGUCAUUCUCUCCAGGGCUGGCACUGGCCUUUUCCUCCAGCUUCCUCUUCAGAGUGUUCAUCGUGGAGGUGGGAGUUGAAGGGGAAGUGGCCGAGCUUGCCGGAAUCUGAGGACUCGGAGCUGGUCAUCUGUGAUCCUGGUGCGAGGCCUCUUAUUCUGCUGCUGGAGCAGACUUGGAUUGAGCUGAUGCUGGUAGAGCUGGGCCAGGUCCGCAGGCAGAGGCUCCACAGGACCAAGCUGAGGGGGCAGCUGGGCCGGCAAGCUCUGCAGCGGCAUCGUCUGCAUCAUCAGUGGUGAGAAGAUGGGCAGCUCCAUGGGCACGGAGAGCUGGGUGAGCGGCACGGAUGGCUGGGCUGGCGCAAUCGUGGGCGAGGUGAUGGGUGGCGCUGACACGGGGAUGGCUGGUGUGGAGGCCGGCUGGGGCGGCGCUGCCGGAAGCGGGGGUGGCGGCGGGGGCGGCGGCGGCGGCUCGGGGGUCUGAGGCCUCAAGGGGUACAGCUUGUCGUAGUGCUCUCGGUACUGUCUGGCAAACCUCUCCAGCUGUUUAAAGGGAAAGUAAUUCUGGUGAACAUGCUCUUGAUGACUCUUUAAAAUCAAGAUGUUCGAGAACAACUUGCCACAGGAGUCGCACUCGAGCUUUUCCGGAUUCUCCCCCUGCUCGGUUUUCCCGUUCUUCUUCUGUACCUUCUGCUUGUUCUCGUUGUACUGAAUGACCAGCUCAAAGCCAAAGUUCUCCAGCAAGGCCUUGGUGGCGUUCCCUCUGGCGUCCGAGGCGAUGCGUGGAGGGAGCAUGGAAGGCUCACAACUACCCCCUGGGGCCAAUUCUUUCUUCUCUUUGGCCUUCAAGGCAUCUGGCAGUGAUUCCUUUGGUCCCGAGUUGCCCUCUCCCCCCUCGGCACCGUCCCUCUCUCUCUGGCUUUCUUUUUCCUUUUCUUUGAUGACCAAUUUGUUUUUCUUCUCGAUGUGCUGGCUGGGCUGUAGGAGGGCAGAGUGACUCUGGGGCAGAGAGAGCUGGCUCUGCUGCUGCUGCUGCUGCAGGACCUGCUGAUGGCCCUGCUGCGGGACCUGCACCUGCGCCUUCAGCUCUUCCAGCAAGCCUGGGCCCGCCCCCGUCAGCGCCAGCGCCCCGCCCGUCACCGGCAGGCUCACCUCGGGGCUGAGCUGGAACUCGGCGCUGGGGAUGUAGAAGGGGAAGAGGAGAUGCUGCUGCUGCUGCAGCUGCAGCAGGGUCUCCGUGGCCAUGGGGAAGUGAGGAAGGAGGGUGGGGCUAAACAGCUGGGACUGGAUCAGGGCCGCCUGCUGCUGCAGCUCCUGCUGCAGGUGAGCUUGAACUUGGGCCUGGGCCUGGGCCAGGGUCUGUGCUUGCUGCUGCUGCUGCUGCCUGGAUGUGAUCAUAUCUGCCAGCUUCUUCCGAUUGGCUUCCUUGGGCUCUGAAGGGGAAGCGGUGUUGGCACCGCUGGGAUUCCCCAGGGGUGGCAUUCCUCCGCUUUCAGUGGGCACUUGGCUCAGUAAGCUGGCGCUUGGAGCAAUGCCAGCACUGCUUGGGUUGGUGGUGGUAAAGGUGUUACUGGUGCUCACAGGACUUGGGGUGGAGGAGCUCAGGGAGACGCUGCUGCUGUUCGCGGUGCCAUUGCUGCUGCCACUUGCAGCCUCCAGCUUGGCUGCCCGGGCCUUGGUUUGAUGCAACACAGACCUCAUAUGGAUCUCCAGCGUGGAGCUCUGGCUAUAGGCCACGUUACAAGUGUUACACUUGAAAGGUUUGUUGUCAGGGCUGCUGGUGGGUUCUGGCUGACCAGCUGCCGAUUCCUGAAGGGCUCUCUUCAACUUAUGCAGGUGGGAGACAGAAUUGUAGUGCACUAGCAGGAUGUUCUUCUGAGUGAAAGAUUCCUUGCAGACGGUACACUUGUAAGGGCGAGAAGGGUCUAGAAAUUUUUCCAUGGUGAAGUUGGGGCCUUUUCUGAAAGGUAGAGCUCUCUUUGGCUCUGAGCCUGAGUCUUCUUGUACCGACCCGGAGUCACUGCCCGUCGGGCUCUGUUUAUCCUCCAAGUCACUCUCUUCUUCCUUGUCUUCCUCAACGAUUAUAGUAUGGUCCUCGGCCAGGGUGGGGUCUCCCAUUGCCAGGAGGUCUCCAUUGGCCAGAAGGCCACCAUAAAGCUGUUGGAUGUCGGCCUCACUCAACUCCAGGUGGCUCGUCUCGAGGUGUUUUUUCAGAGCCUGGAAAGUUCGGAAACUGCGCUGACAGAGACAGCACAUGGUGGCAGCUCUGAUCACGUGGUACUGAGAGUGGAGCUGCAGCUUUUCCACGGUCUUAAAAGCCAGGCUGCACUGGUUGCAGCGGUACUUGUACACGUGGCGAUCCGACACGGGCAGCUGAGGCCUCUUGGCGUGGACCUCAUUGAAGUGCGCCUGGAGAGUGGCGGAAGUUUUGAAAACCUGGUUGCACCCCUUCUUCCAGCACAGGAAGCCUGAAUCUUCUCUCACAGAGCCUGGGUCAGCAGGAGAGGGUUUCACAUCGCCACUGUGUUCUGUGCCGGCAGAGGGCACGAUGUUCUUUCCCAGAUCAUCUGAGGUUUCUGGAAAAAAAAAAAAGCCCAAUGAUAAAGAAGGCUUAGAGCUGUCUACCCAGCAAGGCCUCAUGAACACAGAGUCUCAUGAUGAGGGAAAUACCCAACCAACCUGCAGACACACACUCUCCACAGAGCCCCACACCGCUGAGAGCACGUGUUAUAUAAGCAGGUGCACAGGAAUAGAGAGGAAGAAAAGGAAAUACAAAAAGCCUCAAAUCUAGUAGGCCUAUACCAUAGCACAAAUCUGUCUUUUAAACAAUAUUCAUUUCAACUUCUCGAGAACUGGCUUGAAGGGAUACCCCCUUUACAUGGAUCUGAAUUAUAGAAUAUGUGAAUUAAUGCUGUCCUAAGCUGUGGGGAAUUUGCAAGAACCGCUAUCCACUGUAGUAUAAGAAAUUUGGGGACAUGUAUAUAUUUUUAGGCAUUAAAUAAUUUCUUGUUAUUACGUGA